This 29-nucleotide small RNA is filed under the name Bombyx mori (domestic silkworm). RNAcentral's name for it is "ovarian small RNA-25382". The record is from RNAcentral. Lineage: Eukaryota; Metazoa; Arthropoda; Insecta; Lepidoptera; Bombycidae.
UCACUAUCAUCAUCGCUGACAUACACAGC